CCUACGGGAGGCAGCAGUGGGGAAUAUUGCACAAUGGGGGAAACCCUGAUGCAGCGACGCCGCGUGAGUGAAGAAGUAUUUCGGUACGUAAAGCUCUAUCAGCAGGGAAGAAAAUGACGGUACCUGACUAAGAAGCCCCGGCUAACUACGUGCCAGCAGCCGCGGUAAUACGUAGGGGGCAAGCGUUAUCCGGAUUUACUGGGUGUAAAGGGAGCGUAGACGGCAGCGCAAGUCUGGAGUGAAAUCCCAUGGCUUAACCAUGGAACUGCUUUGGAAACUGUGCAGCUAGAGUGCAGGAGAGGUAAGCGGAAUUCCUAGUGUAGCGGUAAAAUGCGUAGAUAUUAGGAGGAACACCAGUGGCGAAGGCGGCUUACUGGACUGUAACUGACGUUGAGGCUCGAAAGCGUGGGGAGCAAACAGGAUUAGAUACCCUAGUAGUC
Molecule: ribosomal RNA, 440 nt
Filed under: uncultured bacterium
Lineage: Bacteria
Description: partial 16S ribosomal RNA
Rfam family: Bacterial small subunit ribosomal RNA
Source: RNAcentral